RNAcentral lists this ribosomal RNA (433 nucleotides) under uncultured bacterium. RNAcentral describes it as "partial 16S ribosomal RNA". It matches the Rfam family "Bacterial small subunit ribosomal RNA", at positions 29 to 507 of the family's 1533-position model. The record is from RNAcentral.
AACGAACGCUGGCGGCAUGCCUAACACAUGCAAGUCGAACGAGACCUUCGGGUCUAGUGGCGCCCGGGUUCGUAACGCGUGGGAACCUGCCCUUAGGUUCGGAAUACCUCCCCGAAAGGGGUGCUAAUACCGGAUAAUGUCUUCGGACCAAAGAUUUAUCGCCUUUGGAUGGGCCCGCGUUGGAUUAGCUAGUUGGUAGGGUAAAAGCCUACCAAGGCGACGAUCCAUAGCUGGUCUGAGAGGAUGAUCAGCCACACUGGGACUGAGACACGGCCCAGACUCCUACGGGAGGCAGGAGUGGGGAAUAGUGGAAAAUGGGCGAAAGCCUGAUCCAGCAAUGCCGCGUGAGUGAUGAAGGCAUUAGGGUUGUAAAGCUCUUUUAACCGGGAUGAUAAUGACAGUACCGGGAGAAUAAGCUCCGGCUAACUCCGUG